RNAcentral lists this ribosomal RNA (300 nucleotides) under uncultured Pyrobaculum sp. Its description in RNAcentral is "bacterial SSU rRNA". It matches the Rfam family "Bacterial small subunit ribosomal RNA", at positions 496 to 795 of the family's 1533-position model. Lineage: Archaea; Thermoproteati; Thermoproteota; Thermoprotei; Thermoproteales; Thermoproteaceae. The record is from RNAcentral.
GCGAAGGUAGGGGCAGCAGCCGCGGUAAAACGGAUGGCGCAGUCGGUGGUCGGAUUCAGGGGGCGGAAAGGGGGCGUAGGCGGUCGGGGAAGUCGGACGGGAAAUCGCCGAGCGCAACUCGGAAACUGCGGCGGAUACUAUUCGGCGCGAGGAGUGGAGGGGGGACGGGAAUACUUGGGGUAGCAGUGAAAUGCGUAGAUAUCAAGUGGAACACCAGUGGCGAAGGCGAGUCCCUGGACAAUUCCUGACGCUGAGGCACGAAAGCUAGGGGAGCAAACAGGAUUAGAUACCCCUGUAGUC